UGUUGGCUUUUGUCGUUUCUGAAUGCAGGAGCAGGGUGUCGUUCCCCUUUCUCCUUUCGAUAAGGCAGAGGGAGAGAGCUCCAACGGCGGAGGAGGCGGAGGCGAUUGCUUCUGUUCAUGGCGAUUCCGAGCUCAUCCAUCGCAGGAUUUUGAUUUCUUCUCCUUGUUUUCUUCGUCCGCCGGCUGCCCUGGUAGUAUCUCAAUGAGUACACUGCAUAAAGUCUGUCGCAAGGAUGUUCCCCUACUUUCUUCACUCGAGAGCGCUGAUUCUUUGAACGAUCCUUAUGUGCCUAAUGAUUUUGCUGAUGAUGGUUCUAGUGCUAUGUCUUUGGUUGUCCUGGUGAUGAUGAAGAGUUUGAUAAAGCACUUUACAAUUUCUAUGUGAAUAAUAAAGUCAAGUACCUGAAGAGAAAAUUAUCAUCUGCUGGCAGAAGGAAUGUUUGUAAUCCUGUCAGGUGCUUUUGACGGGUCAAUGAAGGACAGUAGGGGCGACUGGUUCAACCAUUCUGUCAAUGUUAGUCGCUUGACGGGUCACAACUACAGCCCGACCCGUUUUCUUCAGGAAAAACAGACAUACAACUGUCAACAGAUCAUUGGUUGGAAAAUUUAAAUGAUAACCAAUUACAAAUCAGUCGAUUGUUGAAUAGACAGUCCCCAUUGCAAAAGUACUUUGUUUUCCUUCCUGACCUGAGACCAUGGCCUUUUUGGGUGCUAUCCUUUUUUAUUGUGACAUCAUCAAGUACUA
Molecule: long non-coding RNA, 745 nt
Organism: Triticum aestivum (bread wheat)
Lineage: Eukaryota; Viridiplantae; Streptophyta; Magnoliopsida; Poales; Poaceae
Exons: 5
Source: RefSeq, a predicted model, not a curated record